RNAcentral lists this ribosomal RNA (507 nucleotides) under uncultured bacterium. RNAcentral's name for it is "bacterial SSU rRNA". It matches the Rfam family "Bacterial small subunit ribosomal RNA", at positions 346 to 843 of the family's 1533-position model. The record is from RNAcentral.
AGGCAGCAGUAGGGAAUCUUCCGCAAUGGACGAAAGUCUGACGGAGCAACGCCGCGUGAKCGAUGAAGGCCUUCGGGUCGUAAAGNUCUGUUGUUAGGGAAGAACAAGUAUCGGAGUAACUGCCGGUACCUUGACGGUACCUAACCAGAAAGCCACGGCUAACUACGUGCCAGCAGCCGCGGUAAUACGUAGGUGGCAAGCGUUGUCCGGAAUUAUUGGGCGUAAAGCGCGCGCAGGCGGUCCUUUAAGUCUGAUGUGAAAGCCCACGGCUCAACCGUGGAGGGUCAUUGGAAACUGGGGGACUUGAGUACAGAAGAGGAAAGCGGAAUUCCACGUGUAGCGGUGAAAUGCGUAGAGAUGUGGAGGAACACCAGUGGCGAAGGCGGCUUUCUGGUCYGUAACUGACGCUGAGGCGCGAAAGCGUGGGGAGCAAACAGGAUUAGAUACCCUGGUAGUCCACGCCGUAAACGAUGAGURCUAAGUGUUAGGGGGUUUCCGCCCUCUUAG